This 71-nucleotide transfer RNA is filed under the name Candidatus Pacearchaeota archaeon. RNAcentral's name for it is "tRNA-Gly". It matches the Rfam family "tRNA". From Rfam's summary of the family: Transfer RNA (tRNA) molecules are approximately 80 nucleotides in length. Their secondary structure includes four short double-helical elements and three loops (D, anti-codon, and T loops). Lineage: Archaea; Nanobdellati. The record is from RNAcentral.
GCGCUGGUAGUAUAAUGGUAGUAUUUCUGCCUUCCAAGCAGAUGGCCCGGGUUCGAAUCCCGGCCGGCGCA